Molecule: small RNA, 296 nt
Filed under: Pongo abelii (Sumatran orangutan)
Lineage: Eukaryota; Metazoa; Chordata; Mammalia; Primates; Hominidae
Description: processed transcript
Source: RNAcentral
UGUGUGUGAGGACUUUGAAGGGGCCAGGAGGGAGCCAUGGAUCUGCUGCGGGAGCUGAAGGCCAUGCCUAUCACGCUGCACCUGCUCCAGUCCACCCGAGUCGGGAUGUCUGUCAACGCCCUUCGGAAGCAGAGCUCGGACGAGGAGGUCAUUGCACUGGCCAAGUCCCUCAUCAAGUCCUGGAAGAAGCUCCUGGAUGCUUCCGAUGCCAAAGCCAGGGAGCGGGGGAGGGGCACGCCUCUGCCCACGUCCUCGAGGGAUGCCUCAGAGGCCCCGGAUCCCAGCCGCAAGAGGCC